This 74-nucleotide transfer RNA is filed under the name Crassvirales sp. RNAcentral describes it as "tRNA-Arg". It matches the Rfam family "tRNA". From Rfam's summary of the family: Transfer RNA (tRNA) molecules are approximately 80 nucleotides in length. Their secondary structure includes four short double-helical elements and three loops (D, anti-codon, and T loops). Lineage: Duplodnaviria; Heunggongvirae; Uroviricota; Caudoviricetes; Crassvirales. The record is from RNAcentral.
GGUUGAUUAGCUUAAUUGAAUAAAGCAUCCCUCUCCUAAAGGGAAGAGUAUGGGUUUGAGUCCCAUAUCAACCA